This 160-nucleotide ribosomal RNA is filed under the name uncultured bacterium. RNAcentral's name for it is "partial 16S ribosomal RNA". It matches the Rfam family "Bacterial small subunit ribosomal RNA", at positions 355 to 532 of the family's 1533-position model. The record is from RNAcentral.
UGGGGAAUCUUAGACAAUGGGGGAAACCCUGGUCUAGCCAUGCCGCGUGAGUGAUGAAGGCCCUAGGGUCGUAAAGUUCUUUCGCCAGGGAUGAUAAUGACAGUACCUGGUAAAGAAACCCCGGCUAACUCCGUGCCAGCAGCCGCGGUAAUACGGAGGG